RNAcentral lists this ribosomal RNA (256 nucleotides) under uncultured bacterium. RNAcentral's name for it is "partial 16S ribosomal RNA". It matches the Rfam family "Bacterial small subunit ribosomal RNA", at positions 96 to 354 of the family's 1533-position model. The record is from RNAcentral.
UGGCGAACGGGUGAGUAAUACAUCGGAACGUGUCCGCUCGUGGGGACAACCAGCCGAAAGGUUGGCUAAUACCGCAUGAGUUCUACGGAAGAAAGAGGGGGACCCGCAAGGGCCUCUCGCGAGCGGAGCGGCCGAUGACUGAUUAGCCGGUUGGUGAGGUAACGGCUCACCAAAGCAACGAUCAGUAGCUGGUCUGAGAGGACGACCAGCCACACUGGGACUGAGACACGGCCCAGACUCCUACGGAAGGCAGCAG